UACGUAGGUGGCUAGCGUUGUCCGGAUUUACUGGGCGUAAAGAGCGCGCAGGCGGUCGUUCAAGUCGAGUGUGAAAGCCCCCGGCUCAACUGGGGAGGGUCACUCGAUACUGUUCGACUUGAGGGCGGGAGAGGGAAGCGGAAUUCCCGGUGUAGUGGUGAAAUGCGUAGAUAUCGGGAGGAACACCAGUGGCGAAGGCGGCUUUCUGGCCCGUUCUUGACGCUGAGGCGCGAAAGCUAGGGUAGCAAACGGG
Molecule: ribosomal RNA, 253 nt
Filed under: uncultured bacterium
Lineage: Bacteria
Description: partial 16S ribosomal RNA
Rfam family: Bacterial small subunit ribosomal RNA
Source: RNAcentral